UGUAACACCACUUGGACUCGUUACGUUCUGUGCCUGGUUCAGCUCCUUGGUUAUCUUCAGCUCCUCCAUGAUUUGGUUGGUUAUCUUCAGCUACUCCAUCUCCAUAGAUUUGGACCAUAACAAGCUGCACGUGAAUGUCAACAGGCUCAGCUUCAGGGAUCUCAACUUGGACUUCUUGCUCAUGGGCUUCCUCCACAUUUUCAAUCUGGGCCCCUGGUUCUAGAUUCUUAAAACAUGAACGGCCCAGGUUGGUAACUCCAUCGAUCCUAACAGCUGGCCGUAGACGGCGAAUAGGAGACCAUCUGUUUACACCGCGAUUCGAACCAGACGGUCUACCGAUAAAAGAUACAGGUAGAAGGACACCGAAGAGAGGCAUAGAAACCAAUCUCCAUAUUUCUUCAUAAAGUCCCCGUACAAGAAGAAGACAUUGAAGAAGAUGACGGAGCAGAGGGUUUUGACGAUGGCAAACGCAUCAUUUCUGAGAACGGCUCUGAGAUUGAUUCUGAUGUUGGGAAGCACAGAAGGAAUCAACGCCAAUAGCACCACAGAGAUGAAGGCAAUGCCCAUCUGAAGAACACUCCAUGAACAGUGAAGCAACAAGCCAAACAUAUGCCUGGAUUCUUGGAUGGAAGAGCCUGGCCUGAGCAAUCCAGAGGAGAGUAUCCUGCCACAUUCUGAAUCGAAGGAAAGAAAACGAAGAGAGAGAGAGAGAGAGAGAGAGUUCCACGAUGAAGAUUGAAGAUGAUGAAAGAGGAAGAGAGAGUUCAGAUGAAAGAUUGAAAAGAUGAUAAAAGAGGAAGAGUUAACUGAAUCAAGUUAGAGUCUUUUAUAGAGUUAACUGAAGAGAGAGUCGCUUCUUGUUAACUGAAUCAGUUAGAGUCUUCAGAUAGAGUCCUUUAGAGAAAAAUUUAAUCACUUUUGCUUUUCUAAAACCUCUUUAAAUCCGUUUGACAGUCAAGGCCUCAACAUCUAUUUUCAUGAUUUUUUUCUGAAAGUUAGAAUUUGAGUCUUACCAGUCCAAGUCUUAAACAAUCACAGCCGUACUAUUUUCUUUUUGAGGAGACAUUGUUACAUACUAUCAACUUAAUGGUUUGUGUUAAAUGCAGAGCUGAGAUGUGCUCAAGGAUUGAAUCUCUGGCUAAACAACUCCAGAGAGGUCAAUGAUGUUAUAUUCAAGGGUUAUUGGAAAGGAAAAUCCAGAGGGGGAAAGCAACUGAGAUUGAUGCAGCGUGCAAUCUUUUGAACACGGAUAGGAACAAGUUCAACAUACAACGAAGGCUCAAAUGAUGGGCCCUCAUCGUUGCUUCGAGUUCCCGGCUUAGUCAAUCUGGUUAGACGAAAUAAAUAUGUACUCAAGAGAUCCUCAUCAUUGCAUCUUCAAUAUGCUAUAUUCCAUUGUGUAUGAGAAACAAGAGCGUCUAAGAAUCAUAAUGGACUAGGAGAUGGUCCUUAAAUGGAUGAUUUCCUACGCUUAUUUCUUUUCCAUAUCCGUGCUGUACACUUGUAUGCCUUAUGAUAUUUGGGUUAGCAAUAGGUAAUGCUUUAUAAAUGUUUUCUUUCUUUAACAACGAAACUUUCCCACUUUCUAGGCUUUUGCUGGUUACUUGCAAGACUCGAGUUCUUUCUGCUUAUCCAGUCCACUUUCUAUUUCCUUUAUGAAAGUUAACAGUGCAUAUUUCAGAUCAUGGACAGAGAAAGAUUUGGAAGCUGAUGACUAAAUGGGAUUUCUGAGGUUAAGAUGAACGUGACUAAAGAAGCAUUCUUAGCCGGGUACUUGAUGACUGUUGUCUUGAGCCUGGUGCAGUUGAUGUCUUCCUUGAAUUCAUCUGUUACUAUGGUGGACCGCUUCCAGAGGAUUUACUCCCACAGUUCAAGUGCCGGUUCUAGUUGCAUGGGGAGAAAAAGAUCCAUGGGAUCCAAUCAAGCUUGGAAAAGCUUAUGGAUGAGAAGCCCGGAAAUGGUGAACCCACUUAUUGAAUCAGUCGUUGCGAGACAUUCAAAGUCCAGUACAGCCUUUGCUCCAGGCAUUUGAUCUCAGUUUCUUUUACACUUUUUGUAUAUCGGUACAAAAACAUAUCAUCUGAACCAGCAUAAUUUGUCAACAUGUGAGAACUCAGUGUGACAAAACAGUGAUUGCAUGCAUAUCUUUGAUGAAGUAGAGAUCUCAGUAAAGGAAACAACACCUUUCGCUCCA
Molecule: long non-coding RNA, 2194 nt
Organism: Brassica napus (rape)
Lineage: Eukaryota; Viridiplantae; Streptophyta; Magnoliopsida; Brassicales; Brassicaceae
Exons: 6
Source: RefSeq, a predicted model, not a curated record